UCUGUAAGUAAGUGUUGGCACAAAAUUUUGUAAAAUAAAACAAUAUACAAAAUUUAGAAAAUGGCGAAAUUCAUCAAUGACAUAAUGUGAGAAAUUGAAAUUAUACGCAAUGAAGAGAAAGAGAGUUACAAAUAUAGUAAAUAUGAAGAUACUUUAAGCUGCGUUGGUCAUCUCACAGCAAUUUGUGUUAUUGAAAGUUGCAACUGGAUUGGAAUGCAAAAGUAUAGUAGAGCAAGAAGGAAUAAGCACGUGCCGACACCGUCUCCACAAUAGGCAUAAAGACUUAUGAAAAACUGGAGGUUUCUUGUUGAUACAAUACCCAUUAGAGGACAAAGCUGACGCCAGAAUCUAUGUUUUCAAACUCAAGACUACUGCCACGAUAUUAUUAAUUAAAAGACCGUUUGUACAAAAA
This is a long non-coding RNA of Manduca sexta (tobacco hornworm), 412 nucleotides long. RefSeq lists it as uncharacterized. The transcript has 2 exons. NCBI's taxonomy places the organism in Eukaryota, Metazoa, Arthropoda, Insecta, Lepidoptera, Sphingidae. The record is from RefSeq and is a predicted model, not a curated record.